This is an RNA transcript of Tachysurus fulvidraco (yellow catfish), 3314 nucleotides long. It is a transcript of the gene named kinesin family member 18A, with no coding region annotated. The transcript is spliced from 18 exons. The record is from RefSeq and is a predicted model, not a curated record. Lineage: Eukaryota; Metazoa; Chordata; Actinopteri; Siluriformes; Bagridae.
CUCGUCCAAUCACAAGCCGAGUCUGCUGGACGCCUUCUGUUUGAAAAUCUUCGCGCUGAUAUCCGCUACUUAAAGGCACUAUGCUGUAGAAAGUGAUAUAUAUUGUAUUAAAUAACAAAUUCCGUGCCUUCUAUGUGGAUAAAUAUUGUUCCGAGAGCGCUGAAGUGAGCAGGCAUAAGAGCCAACGCCAUUAUGUCGGAAGGAGAAGUGUGCAGCCACGUAAAAGUGGUUGUCCGUGUCCGCCCUUUAAACUCCAGGGAAAAGGAUGGAAAUUUAAGGAAUAUAGUCCGUGUCGUGGAUAACCAUAUGCUCGUUUUUGACCCCAAAGAGCAGGAGGUAAAAUUUUUCCGUGGCCAGAAAGCAGGAACUAGAGACUUGAGGAAAAGAGCGAAUAAAGACCUGAAGUUUGUGUUCGAUCGUGUCUUCGGGGACGAUUCCACACAGAUGGAACUGUUCGAAAACACUACGAAGGGAGUAGUCGAUGGAGUCCUGAACGGCUACAACUGCACAGUGUUUGCCUACGGAGCUACAGGAGCAGGGAAGACCCACACAAUGCUGGGCAGCUGUGAAAACCCGGGUGUAAUGUACCUCACCAUGAAAGAGCUGUUCAGAAGAAUGGACAUCGCCAAGGAGGAGAAAGUCUUUGAAUUGGCUUUCUCCUAUCUGGAGGUUUAUAACGAACAGAUUCGGGACCUCCUGGCGAACUCGGCUCCUCUAGCCUUGAGAGAAGACGCUGCAAAAGGAGUGGUGAUCCAAGGCCUGACUCUUCAUCAGCCCAAAUCCGCUGAGCACAUCCUUGAAGCUCUGGAUUACGGUAACAGAAAUAGAACGCAGCACCCCACUGACGUGAACGCCUCAUCUUCCCGGUCCCAUGCCGUAUUUCAGAUCUACCUGAGGCAGCAGGAUAAGUCAGCCUGUCUGAAUCCAAAUGUGUGUGUGGCCAAGAUGAGUCUGAUUGACCUAGCCGGUUCAGAGAGGGCCAGCGCCACCAACGCUAAAGGAGCUCGCCUCCGGGAAGGAGCCAACAUCAACCGCUCUCUUCUCGCCCUGGCCAAUGUCAUCAACGCACUCGCUGACCCGAAGAGUAAGAAGAAUCACAUUCCUUACAGAGACAGCAAGUUGACGCGAUUGCUAAAGGACUCACUGGGUGGGAACUGUAGAACUGUGAUGAUCGCAAACAUUAGCCCGUCAUCACUUUCGUACGAGGACACGCACAAUACGCUCAAGUAUGCUAACCGGGCCAAGGAGAUCAAGUCUACACUGAAAAGUAAUGUUGUGAGUGUGGACAGUCAUGUUGGGCAGUAUGCAGUCAUAUGUGAGAAACAGAAGGCUGAGAUUAUGCAGCUGAAACAGAAGCUGCGAGAAUACGAGGAGCGGAAGGCAGAGGCUCCUGCCCUUAAUCCAAUCUCCAGCCAGAAAAGAGCUGAAUUCGAGAAAAUGUCCGAGUCUCUGCGCAGCUUGUUCGCCGCACGCCUGCAGCUGCGUAAGGAGCACUUGGACAUCGAGAAGCAGCUAAAGGAGAACCAGCUAAGGCACAGUCACAGGGAGGAGUGGCACAAGCAGGGCCUGUUAUUCUUCCCAGACGACAAAGCAGAGAAGGCCACCUGUAAGUACGAGCGUAAGCUGGCGUCUCUGCAAUCUCAUCGGCAGCACCUAAAAAGGAAGCUGGAGGACAACGGGAAGAACUUCCAGGAGAACGAAGGUUGGCUCCAUCGCCUCGAAAACGAGAUGAAGCUGCUUGGGCACGAAGGAAACACACCAGAGGAGCUUAAAAAGGAACUGCAGUGCCAGAGGCUGAAGCUGCAGGUGGCUGACCUGCAGCAGCACAUCAAGCACAUGCACCAUCUCAUCAGUUUGCAGGACCAGGAAAACAAACAUACACACAAACUGGUUCAUGCCCUACUUCCUGCCUACCGUCGCCAGCGCCUAGCCUUGAUGGCUGCGGGCAUGUCCACGGACGACACAGAGCAGGAGGAGCUGGAGCACCUGGUGCAGAGAGAGAGGGGCGUGGUAUGGGCCGACCAGGAGAACUCGGAAGAGAAGGCUGAACAAGACGAAUGCACUGAGAACAACACUCUCCAGCCCAUCUUGUCUUUCUCUCACCUCAUCACUCACCAGAAUACACCAUGCAGUGCAGAGAAACACACACGCCGUGUCUCCCAGCGACUCAAACCGUCUAAAGGCGCUGUUGCUGGAGAGGAGCGUGUAUCCGAAACCCUGCCUAAAAUGCCUAUCAGACGGAAGCUGGCUGUUUCUCCUGUGAAGCCUGGCUCAGGAUGUGAAGGGGCAGGUCUAUCUAACUGUCCUCCAGGCCUGCAGGAGGUGCUGCAUCAGGAGGGCUUUUACCCACUGCCCUACACGCCCGAGACGCAGUCCUCCAACGCUCCAGUCUCCAUCCACCCUGAUUCCACCUUUGACGUGGGUGUAGAUGAACAGGGGGAGGAAACGACUCAGGGUAACAGCACAAUUAUCCUGUCUCCCAAAUCACCUGAGCCUUCUUUAGGUUCAGGCCUGAGUCAACUCCGUAUCCUGCGCGCCAAUAACAGCAACGAGCCCCAGAGAAGUUGGUUUGUAGGUUGGAGAUUCCGUCUCUUCUUGACCUACGGAGAUCCAAACCAUCCUACAUGGCCAUGACAUCAGCAGCACAAGGCAAACGCAAGCUCAACUGCAUCGGAAAGGAGAUAGGCUCAGACGUUACCCAGGGUGCUGCAGCGCCCAAACGGAUAAAGAGGGAUCCCUCCGAUACCACAAAACCACUGCGUGUGCGACGCUUUGGCACAUCAUCUGAGAAUGAGCCGAGCAGGAGAGUGGUGCGCAGCGUAUCAGAGGGAAACCUUCAUCAGCUCGGCUCUCGUAAGCCCAGAUCAGCAUUUCUGGGCCCAACUGCCCUGUUCAAGAAAGUCACAAAGAGGAUGUGAAAUGUCUCCAGAAUUACCACUUGAACACACGACUUCUAAAAGCCUCAUGCACUGAUUUCUCUCUCUCUCACACACACACACACACUCGUCUGUCUUGUGGAUAUUGCGAAUCGGUUCGAAGAAGCGAGACGUCUUACAGGUUUAAACCUGACUGUUGAUGUAGUGAAUGUUUUGUUUUUUUCUUUGUUUUUUUUUUUUUUUUAAAUGUACAGCUUUUUAACAAUAUUAAAAUAACUUGUACAAAGAAUGUUUUAACCUAGUGUCAAGUGAAAAUUAAACCUGUGAUGAUGUUUGUUCUUAGUUCCUGAUGCUUACUUGUUUUCUUUCUAGAGAAACUUUUAAACAAUUGAAACUUCCUGUAAGUCAAGACGACGUAAUAAAAAGCUCUGGACUCUC